RNAcentral lists this ribosomal RNA (909 nucleotides) under uncultured Leuconostoc sp. RNAcentral's name for it is "bacterial SSU rRNA". It matches the Rfam family "Bacterial small subunit ribosomal RNA", at positions 1 to 868 of the family's 1533-position model. Lineage: Bacteria; Bacillati; Bacillota; Bacilli; Lactobacillales; Lactobacillaceae. The record is from RNAcentral.
CAAGGUAACCUUAGAGUUUGAUCCUGGCUCAGGACGAACGCUGGCGGCAUGCCUAAUACAUGCAAGUCGAACGAGCUUCCGUUGAAUGACGUGCUUGCACUGAUUUCAACAAUGAAGCGAGUGGCGAACUGGUGAGUAACACGUGGGGAAUCUGCCCAGAAGCAGGGGAUAACACUUGGAAACAGGUGCUAAUACCGUAUAACAACAAAAUCCGCAUGGAUUUUGUUUGAAAGGUGGCUUCGGCUAUCACUUCUGGAUGAUCCCGCGGCGUAUUAGUUAGUUGGUGAGGUAAAGGCCCACCAAGACGAUGAUACGUAGCCGACCUGAGAGGGUAAUCGGCCACAUUGGGACUGAGACACGGCCCAAACUCCUACGGGAGGCAGCAGUAGGGAAUCUUCCACAAUGGACGAAAGUCUGAUGGAGCAAUGCCGCGUGAGUGAAGAAGGGUUUCGGCUCGUAAAACUCUGUUGUUAAAGAAGAACACCUUUGAGAGUAACUGUUCAAGGGUUGACGGUAUUUAACCAGAAAGCCACGGCUAACUACGUGCCAGCAGCCGCGGUAAUACGUAGGUGGCAAGCGUUGUCCGGAUUUAUUGGGCGUAAAGCGAGCGCAGGCGGUUUUUUAAGUCUGAUGUGAAAGCCUUCGGCUUAACCGGAGAAGUGCAUCGGAAACUGGGAGACUUGAGUGCAGAAGAGGACAGUGGAACUCCAUGUGUAGCGGUGGAAUGCGUAGAUAUAUGGAAGAACACCAGUGGCGAAGGCGGCUGUCUAGUCUGUAACUGACGCUGAGGCUCGAAAGCAUGGGUAGCGAACAGGAUUAGAUACCCUGGUAGUCCAUGCCGUAAACGAUGAGUGCUAAGUGUUGGAGGGUCUCUCGCCCUUCAGUGCUGCAGCUAACGCAUUAAGCAUU